Molecule: ribosomal RNA, 517 nt
Filed under: uncultured bacterium
Lineage: Bacteria
Description: bacterial SSU rRNA
Rfam family: Bacterial small subunit ribosomal RNA
Source: RNAcentral
CUACGUGCCAGCAGCCGCGGUAAUACGUAGGGUGCGAGCGUUAAUCGGAAUUACUGGGCGUAAAGCGAGCGCAGACGGUUACUUAAGCAGGAUGUGAAAUCCCCGGGCUCAACCUGGGAACUGCGUUCUGAACUGGGUGACUAGAGUGUGUCAGAGGGAGGUAGAAUUCCACGUGUAGCAGUGAAAUGCGUAGAGAUGUGGAGGAAUACCGAUGGCGAAGGCAGCCUCCUGGGAUAACACUGACGUUCAUGCUCGAAAGCGUGGGUAGCAAACAGGAUUAGAUACCCUGGUAGUCCACGCCCUAAACGAUGUCAAUUAGCUGUUGGGCAACUUGAUUGCUUAGUAGCGUAGCUAACGCGUGAAAUUGACCGCCUGGGGAGUACGGUCGCAAGAUUAAAACUCAAAUGAAUUGACGGGGGCCCGCACAAGCGGUGGAGCAUGUGGUUUAAUUCGAUGCAACGCGAAGAACCUUACCUACUCUUGACAUCCAUGGAAUCCUGUAGAGAUACGGGAGUGC